RNAcentral lists this ribosomal RNA (468 nucleotides) under uncultured bacterium. RNAcentral's name for it is "partial 16S ribosomal RNA". It matches the Rfam family "Bacterial small subunit ribosomal RNA", at positions 28 to 507 of the family's 1533-position model. The record is from RNAcentral.
GACGAACGCUGGCGGCGUGCUUAACACAUGCAAGUCGAACGGAAAGGCCCUGCUUUUGUGGGGUGCUCGAGUGGCGAACGGGUGAGUAACACGUGAGUAACCUGCCCUUGACUUUGGGAUAACUUCAGGAAACUGGGGCUAAUACCGGAUAGGAGCUCCUGCUGCAUGGUGGGGGUUGGAAAGUUUCGGCGGUUGGGGAUGGACUCGCGGCUUAUCAGCUUGUUGGUGGGGUAGUGGCUUACCAAGGCUUUGACGGGUAGCCGGCCUGAGAGGGUGACCGGCCACAUUGGGACUGAGAUACGGCCCAGGCUCCUACGGGAGGCAGCAGUGGGGAAUAUUGCACAAUGGGCGGAAGCCUGAUGCAGCAACGCCGCGUGCGGGAUGACGGCCUUCGGGUUGUAAACCGCUUUCGCCCGUGACGAAGCGUGAGUGACGGUAAUGGGUAAAGAAGCACCGGCUAACUACGUG